Molecule: long non-coding RNA, 2704 nt
Organism: Oncorhynchus tshawytscha (Chinook salmon)
Lineage: Eukaryota; Metazoa; Chordata; Actinopteri; Salmoniformes; Salmonidae
Source: Ensembl
CCAUAAUGGCAUCAUUGUAUCUGUCCCAUAACGGCAUCAUUGUAUCUGUCCUAUAACGGCAUCAUUGUAUCUGUCCCAUAACGGCAUCAUUGUAUCUGUCCCAUAAUGGCAUCAUUGUAUAGAUAGACAUGGCAUCAUUUUAUCUGUCCCAUAACGACAUCAUUGUAUCUGUCCCAUAACAGCAUCAUUGUAUUUGUCCCAUAACAGCAUCAUUUUAUCCAUCCCACAAGGGCAUCAUUGUAUCUGUCCCAUAAUGGCGACGCUAUUAAUAAUGGCAACCCCAUUGAGGGCAUCUCAAUUUUGAAGUAGUCCAUUUUCUUCUACAACUUCUUCAAUGAGUUGGUAAACAAACUGAAAGGGAGCACACUGCCCCCCGCAGGAUGUUGUCUGAACAGGUAUAAAGCCAAGGAUGCUGAUUUAAUGCCACCUGCAAUUAUGGGAUGUUUGCUCACACAUAUAAUGAAUUGGCUGAUCCCUGCUGAUGACCCAGAUGGAAUCAUUCCUUAACCCAUAGGAAGUCUCACCCAGCUGACUACUUCCAAAUGGUGAAAGUCCUCAGUGGCGCUGCACAUCCUAAAACAGUUUUAUGGGCACUAGAGUCCUCUAUCUAACUCUAUGGUUGGGAAACACCACUUACCUCCUUGUGUAUUCUCAAUAGUGUAGCCUUAGGGGUGUGUUCAAUAGUCUCUAGUGUAGCCUUAGGGGUGAGUUUCAAUAGUCUCUAGUGUAGCCUAGGGGUGAGUCUCAAUAGUCUCUAGUGUAGUCUAGAGGUGUGUCUCAAUAGUCUCUAGUGUAGUCUAGAGGUGUGUCUCAAUAUUCUCUAGUGUAGUCUAGAGGUAAGUCUCAAUAUUCUCUAGUGUAGUCUAGAGGUAAGUCUCAAUAUUCUCUAGUGUAGUCAAGGGGUGAGUCUCAAUAGUCUCUAGUGUAGUCAAGGGUUGAAUCUCAAUAGUCUACUGUAGUCAAGGGGUGAGUCUCAAUAGUCUCUAGUGGUGAGUCUCGAUAGUCUAGCGUAGUCUAGGGAUGAGUGUCAAUAGUCUCUAGUGUAGUCUAGGGUGAGUCUCAAUAGUCUCCAGUGUAGUCUAGGGGUGAGUCUCAACAGUAUCUGGUGUAGUCUAGGGCUGAGUCUUAACAUUCUAGUGUAGUCUAGGGGCGAGUCACAAUAGUCUCUAGUGUAGUCUAGGGGUGAGUCUCAAUAGUCUCUAGUUUAGUCUAGGGGUAAGUCUCAAUAGUUUACUGUAGUCUAGGGGUGAGUGUCAAUAGUCUCCAGUGUAGUCUAGGGGUGAGUCUCAAUAGUCUCUAGUGUAGUCUAGGGGUGAGUCUCAAUAGUUUAGUGUAGUCUAGGGGUGAGUCUCAAUAGUCUCUAGUAUAGUCUAGGGAUGAGUCUCAUUAGUCUAAAGUGUAGUCUAAAGGUGUCUCAACAGUCUCUAGUUUAUUCUAGGGGUGAGUCUCACACUCUCUAGUGUAGUUGAGAGGUGAGUCUCAAUAGUCUCUAGUGUCAUCUAGUGGUGAGUCUCAACUCUCUCUAGUUUAGUCUAGGGGUGAGUCUCAAUAGUCUCUAGUGUAUUCUAUUGGUGAGUCUCAAUAGUCUAGUGUAUUCUAGGGGUGAGUCUCAAUAGUCUAGUGUAGUCUAGGGGUGAGUCUCAAUAGUCUCUAGUGUAGUCUAGUCUUGUCUAGAGGUUUGUCUCAUUGGUCUCUAGUAUAGUCAAGGGGUGAGUUUCAUUAUUCUCUAGUGUAGUCUAGGGAUUAGUCUCAUUAGUCUCUCAUGUAGUCAAGGGGUAGGUCUCAAUAGUCUCUAGUGAAGUAUAGGGGUAAGUCUCAAAAGUCUCUAGCGUAGUCAAGGGGUAAGUCUCAAUAGUCUCUAGUGAAGUCUAGGGGUAAGUCUCAAUAGUCUCUAGUGUGGCCAAGGGGUGAGUCUCAUUAUUCUCUAGUGUAGUCUAGGGGUAAGUCUCAAUAGUCUCUAGUGUAGUCAAGGGUGAGUCUCAUUACUGUUUCGUCUGUUAUACUAAUGCUGCCACUAGAUGGGGUCAGAUGGACCUGCAAGUGACAUUUUUAAUUUGGUAUUCUAGUUCAACUAUUGAGAUGCAUCGCUGGGAGGAAACAAAACUAGACUGUUGAGAUGUACCGCUAGAAGGAUAUGAGACUAGAUUAUUGAGAUGUAGCCCUAGAAGGAUAUUAGACUAGAUUAUUGAGAUGUACCCCUAGAAGGAUAUUAGACUAGAUUAUUGAGAUUUACCCCUAGAAGGAUAUUAGACUAGAUUAUUGAGAUGUACCCCUAGAAGGAUAUUAGACUAGAUUAUUGAGAUGUACCCCUAGAAGGAUAUUAGACACGCUAUUGAGAUGUACCCCUAGAAGGAUAUUAGAUCAUACUAUUGAGAUGUACCGCUAGAAGGAUAUUAGACCAGAUUAUUGAGAUUUACCCCUAGAAGGAUAUUAGACUAGAUUAUUGAGAUUUACCCCUAGAAGGAUAUUAGACUAGAUUAUUGAGAUUUACCCCUAGAAGGAUAUUAGACACACUAUUGAGAUGUACCCCUAGAAGGAUAUUAGAUCAUACUAUUGAGAUGUACCCCUAGAAGGAUAUUAGAUCAUACUAUUGAGAUGUACCCCUAGAAGGAUAUUAGAUCAUACUUUUGAGAUGUACCCCUAGAAGGAUAUUAGACCAGAUUAUUGAGAUUUACCCCUAGAAGGAUAUUAGACUAGAUUAUUG